RNAcentral lists this long non-coding RNA (2471 nucleotides) under Cucumis sativus (cucumber). Its description in RNAcentral is "long non-coding RNA (CSAT_LNC001960)". Lineage: Eukaryota; Viridiplantae; Streptophyta; Magnoliopsida; Cucurbitales; Cucurbitaceae. The record is from RNAcentral.
GUUGGAUAAUCCCACUAAUUCUUAGUGGGAUAUGUGGCUAUAUGAGAUAUAAACACCUAGCCCACUAAGUUCCACUAAUUGUUAGUGGAACAUUAGGUGUUGAGAUUUGGCAAAUGAAUUGCAUGCAUUUUUGCAUGUAAUUAGGUUAUAAAUAGAGGUGUUUUCAAAUGUUGAAGGAGUUUUGCCUCUUUUAUCAUUUUCAUCAUCUCAACAAAAGAAAAAAAAAACCUUCCAAUCCCAUUUUAUCUCCAUUUCUUUCUACACCAAAAUUGGGUCCCACAACCCGGUUCUUUGUCUAGAGGAUAGCAGUUGAGUACUAGUGGUGGUCUCGGUUAGAAUUGGUGAGAAGAUAUCAAACCUUUUGAAAGCUUCAAAGGUAAUAUUUCUUAAAACCCUAAUUUGAUUAGUUUAUGGUUACAUGUUAAUUGUGGCAAUUAGGGUAGAAAUUCGAUUCUUUUUCCGCUGUGCAUGACUUAGUUCUAUCAUGUGGUAUCAGAGCAUGCUUCAUUUUUACCCAAUUGCAUGUGGUGGGUUCAUAUUUAUUAGAUAAAUUUUGGUUUGAACUAAAAUGGAUAUAUUAUGAUUUUGGCUCUAGAUUAAGUGUUUUUGUUCUAAUCAUUGUAAUUAGCCUUGUUAAUGGCUUAUUUUUAUUGUUGCAAAGUGUUUGUAUUUUUUUUAAAAUAAAAAAAAAGUCAUUAGAGUUGAAGUUAGGCUGUAACUGGUUCAACCGGGUGAGAGAAUUGAAAAAAAUGAAGAAAAGAAGGUCACAGACCCGAAAACCCGCCUUGACCCGCUUCGCGACCCGCACGCGCCCGCGCGGCCUCCUGCGUUCGCACGCUCCCGCCGCGCGCGCCGCCUGCGCCCGACCCGUGUGCGCCUGGGCCUGUUUAGUUAAUUGGGUCGGUUCAAGCCAAUAAAUUUGGUUUUUGGGCCGGUUCAAGCGGUUUCGGUUGGUUUUUCAGCCGGUUCGAAGUUUUUGGGAGUGGUUUUGUACUACACCAAAUUAAUUAUGUAAUAAUUUAGUACUUAGCUUAAUUUAGGAGCCAAAAAUCAGUCCAUUUUUUUUUUGGGGGGGGGGGGGGGGGGGGGGGAGAGAGAGAGAGAGCAUAGACUCGAAUGUCUGGUGAAGAUGUUGCACAAAGAGAAAGAAAGCUUGAGCAAGCUACCUAAAGAUUAAUCGUCCGGACUAAAAGAAAAGAAUCUUUGUGUUUAAUCUCUAAACUUGUAAUUGCAUUUUCCAUUCUUUUGUCUAUACCAUUUUUGUUAUUCUAUUGUAUUGUAUGUAUUGUUUAUAUUGUACAGUGGUCGAAGACCUAUAUUUUUCUUUAUACAUAAUCGCUCCUAUUCAAUCCAUCAUUUCUUAACUCUUCAUCUAUUUGUGUAUUACUAAGGAAGAAGGCUUGUGAACACCGUUCUUAAUAAGGGGUUUAACUUAUAAUUUUUAUCGCAUUAGUUGAGCUAUUUUUAUCACUUGUCCAGUGUCAAUCGCCAACUACCCGAGAGAGCAAGUAGCAAGGAUAAAGCUAAUGCGCACAAAGAGGAGUUUGAUAACAAACUCUUCCUUAGCGAGAUAACUUCCAACAUUUAUAUCCCAUAAGGUGAACAUGUGCGGACAAUAGGUGUUGAGAUAUAUGUAUUAUGAGCCAAGUUCCCUAGUUAUAAUUUGCUUAAACAAACAUAGUCAUUUGUAUCCCAAAAGGUGAACAAGUGUGGCAUUGAACACUUUGAGAGAAGGUCACCCUAAUCAUGUGCCAGUUAUGCAAAUAUAGCGGGUUAAGGUGAUCGCAACUCCUCAUCAGUUAAUAGCACAAAGAAUUUCCUUCAAUAUUCAUCUGCAUGCAAGUUAGUUUGAUUUAUUCCCCCCUAAGUUAGUUUACCCUCUGUGUGUGAGUCUAUGGUUGUAAAUAGUCAGUGCUAUUAUUGUCACAUUCUUACAGCUUAAUUGUCAUAACGCCUUAAUGCUAAAGUAAAAUCUUAAACUAACAUCUAAAACAAUUUCCUAUGUUCGACCCUGGAUCACCUAGAUAAAUCUAUUGUUCGCUUGCACUUGGGCAAGUAGUAGAAAACUUGUAUUCAACAAGGACUUAGAAACCAUGCGAUGAAGAAGUACAUGGGAGCAAUUCAAAUGCAAUGAUCAUUACUCAUGACUUAUUGCACGAGACCAAACACAAGCAAUAUUGAAAGUCAUGACAAGUGCAUUAUUCGCAAUAACAUGACUUAGUGAAGUACAAAUAUAAUGGUCUUUUAGCACGAAGCUAUUAAGACCUUUCAUACAAUAACAACUACAGGUCUCAUGAAAUAUUUGAGCAUGAAGAAAACAUUUAAAAACAUUGAAAUGUUUUCCUUGUCCUUGAUCAUGAAAUUAUUCAAACAUGGUAUAACUUGAACAUAGUCAUAAAGAUUUAUCAUAAAUCAUAACUUGAAAUGAUAACAUUGAAAUUUAUGUUUUAUAAAUCAUUUUGCAAGUUAUU